GAUGAACGCUGGCGGCGUGCCUAAUACAUGCAAGUCGAGCGAACAGAUGAGGAGCUUGCUCCUCUGACGUUAGCGGCGGACGGGUGAGUAACACGUGGAUAACCUACCUAUAAGACUGGGAUAACUUCGGGAAACCGGAGCUAAUACCGGAUAAUAUAUUGAACCGCAUGGUUCAAUAGUGAAAGACGGUUUUGCUGUCACUUAUAGAUGGAUCCGCGCCGCAUUAGCUAGUUGGUAAGGUAACGGCUUACCAAGGCGACGAUGCGUAGCCGACCUGAGAGGGUGAUCGGCCACACUGGAACUGAGACACGGUCCAGACUCCUACGGGAGGCAGCAGUAGGGAAUCUUCCGCAAUGGGCGAAAGCCUGACGGAGCAACGCCGCGUGAGUGAUGAAGGUCUUCGGAUCGUAAAACUCUGUUAUUAGGGAAGAACAAAUGUGUAAGUAACUAUGCACGUCUUGACGGUACCUAAUCAGAAAGCCACGGCUAACGACG
Molecule: ribosomal RNA, 495 nt
Filed under: uncultured bacterium
Lineage: Bacteria
Description: partial 16S ribosomal RNA
Rfam family: Bacterial small subunit ribosomal RNA
Source: RNAcentral